AAAUCCUUUUUUCCCCAGUGAGGACGAGGACUGUAAAUCCUUUUUUCCCCAGUUCAAAUCCGGGUGUCCCCU
RNAcentral lists this transfer RNA (72 nucleotides) under Phytolacca americana (American pokeweed). Its description in RNAcentral is "tRNA-Cys". The record is from RNAcentral. Lineage: Eukaryota; Viridiplantae; Streptophyta; Magnoliopsida; Caryophyllales; Phytolaccaceae.